AAAUUUAGGUUAAAUAGACCAAGAGCCUUCAAAGCCCUAAGAAAGUAGAAACGUACUUAAUUUCUG
RNAcentral lists this transfer RNA (66 nucleotides) under Cheirogaleus major (Greater dwarf lemur). RNAcentral describes it as "tRNA-Trp". The record is from RNAcentral. Lineage: Eukaryota; Metazoa; Chordata; Mammalia; Primates; Cheirogaleidae.